GACGAACGCUGGCGGCGUGCUUAACACAUGCAAGUCGAACGGAAAGGCCCUGCUUUUGUGGGGUGCUCGAGUGGCGAACGGGUGAGUAACACGUGAGUAACCUGCCCUUGACUUUGGGAUAACUUCAGGAAACUGGGGCUAAUACCGGAUAGGAGCUCCUGCUGCAUGGUGGGGGUUGGAAAGUUUCGGCGGUUGGGGAUGGACUCGCGGCUUAUCAGCUUGUUGGUGAGGUAGUGGCUUACCAAGGCUUUGACGGGUAGCCGGCCUGAGAGGGUGACCGGCCACAUUGGGACUGAGAUACGGCCCAGACUCCUACGGGAGGCAGCAGUGGGGAAUAUUGCACAAUGGGCGGAAGCCUGAUGCAGCAACGCCGCGUGCGGGAUGACGGCCUUCGGGUUGUAACCCGCUUUCGCCUGUGACGAAGCGUGAGUGACGGUAAUGGGUAAAGAAGCACCGGCUAACUACGUG
This 468-nucleotide ribosomal RNA is filed under the name uncultured bacterium. RNAcentral describes it as "partial 16S ribosomal RNA". It matches the Rfam family "Bacterial small subunit ribosomal RNA", at positions 28 to 507 of the family's 1533-position model. The record is from RNAcentral.